GUCCACGCUGUAAACGAUGUCAACUAGAUGUAGGGGGUGUUGAUCCCUUCUGUGUCGCAGCUAACGCAUUAAGUUGACCGCCUGGGGAGUACGGUCGCAAGAUUAAAACUCAAAGGAAUUGACGGGGGCCCGCACAAGCGGUGGAGUAUGUGGUUUAAUUCGAUGCAACGCGAAGAACCUUACCUGGUCUUGACAUCCCGGAAAUCCCUUGGAAACUUGGGAGUGCUUCCAUUAGGAAGAAUCCGGAGACAGGUGCUGCAUGGCUGUCGU
RNAcentral lists this ribosomal RNA (270 nucleotides) under uncultured bacterium. Its description in RNAcentral is "partial 16S ribosomal RNA". It matches the Rfam family "Bacterial small subunit ribosomal RNA", at positions 793 to 1055 of the family's 1533-position model. The record is from RNAcentral.